GAUGGUUGAGGCGCUAUCGUCUACUUCCGGUAUACUUCCGGAAAAUUUGCAUAAAACUAGCAAGUGAGCUUUAUUCUCUGUACAAUUCUUAAGACUCCUUGCCAAGUUAAGUAAACAGAAAUGGUCUUUUUGAUUACUUUUGUGACUUGUUUAACUAUCUAAGGCCGGUCCUUUAGAUAGUGGGUUUUGGACGUGUCAAAUAGAUGGCGUGAAAGAAUACUGUGUUGAUAUGUGAUGGCGGCUCGUUGUCAACAGUUCAGCUACAGCUAUUUUCUUCAAAAAUUACCAAUGAAUUCUUUGGAGAAAAUGUGAAAGGUGCAUGCAGCCUACUGUCAACUAUUGUGUUGUAAACCCUGGGAUCCUACUGAAUGUGUCAUCCAAGUGACAGAGCACAGAGGUUUUUAUUAUCAACUAUUUCUAUUGGACUUGCUAGAUCACCAACCCCAGCAUAGACCGAUCUCUCAUUCCACUUCUAGAGAACCUUGGAUAACUGAUUGGUAGUUUAGUGUGUUCUUAGGUUUCUAAUUUUGCAUGACAGACUUUAUGAGAAGUCAUGUCCUUUGACGAAUGACAAACAAGGUCCUUUGUUUGGUAACCCGUUGGCUGCUACCCUUUUUACUUUCUUAAACAGGCCCUCUUGAUUUGAGGGUAACUGAUCCUUCACUACUUAUCAUGGACUUCAUCCAUUGGUGAAAGCUGAUAAGAGAAAGCUGGAUUUGAGUAAUUCAAGACUGACAGCUGUUAGAUGUCUAAGCCAAAAGCUGUUUCCUCUCCCUGUCUUUA
Long non-coding RNA from Daphnia pulex (common water flea), 783 nucleotides. RefSeq lists it as uncharacterized. The record is from RefSeq and is a predicted model, not a curated record. The transcript is spliced from 5 exons. Lineage: Eukaryota; Metazoa; Arthropoda; Branchiopoda; Diplostraca; Daphniidae.